RNAcentral lists this ribosomal RNA (254 nucleotides) under uncultured bacterium. Its description in RNAcentral is "partial 16S ribosomal RNA". It matches the Rfam family "Bacterial small subunit ribosomal RNA", at positions 524 to 776 of the family's 1533-position model. The record is from RNAcentral.
UACGUAGGGACCAAGCGUUGUUCGGAUUUACUGGGCGUAAAGGGCGCGUAGGCGGCAUGACAAGUCACUUGUGAAAUCUCCGGGCUUAACCCGGAACGGCCAAGUGAUACUGUCGCGCUAGAGUGCGGAAGGGGCAAUCGGAAUUCUCGGUGUAGCGGUGAAAUGCGUAGAUAUCGAGAGGAACACCUGAGGUGAAGACGGGUUGCUGGGCCGACACUGACGCUGAGUGCGCGAAAGCCAGGGGAGCAAACGGG